AGAGUUUGAUCCUGGCUCAGGAUGAACGCUGGCGGCGUGCCUAAUACAUGCAAGUCGAGCGAACAGACGAGGAGCUUGCUCCUUCGACGUUAGCGGCGGACGGGUGAGUAACACGUAGGUAACCUACCUAUAAGACUGGGAUAACUUCGGGAAACCGGAGCUAAUACCGGAUAAUAUUUCGAACCGCAUGGUUCGAUAGUGAAAGAUGGCUUUGCUAUCACUUAUAGAUGGACCUGCGCCGUAUUAGCUAGUUGGUAAGGUAACGGCUUACCAAGGCAACGAUACGUAGCCGACCUGAGAGGGUGAUCGGCCACACUGGAACUGAGACACGGUCCAGACUCCUACGGGAGGCAGCAGUAGGGAAUCUUCCGCAAUGGGCGAAAGCCUGACGGAGCAACGCCGCGUGAGUGAUGAAGGUCUUCGGAUCGUAAGACUCUGUUAUUAGGGAAGAACAAACGUGUAAGUAACUGUGCACGUCUUGACGGUACCUAAUCAGAAAGCCACGGCUAACUACCUGCCAGCAGCCGGGCGUAAUACGUAGGUGGCAAGCGUUAUCCGGAAUUAUUGGGCGUAAAGCGCGCGUAGGCGGUUUUUUAAGUCUGAUGUGAAAGCCCACGGCUCAACCGUGGAGGGUCAUUGGAAACUGGAAAACUUGAGUGCAGAAGAGGAAAGUGGAAUUCCAUGUGUAGCGGUGAAAUGCGCAGGAUAUGGGAGGAACACCAGUGGCGAAGGCGACUUUCUGGGUCUGUAACUGACGCUGAUGUGCGAAAGCGUGGGGAUCAACAAGGAUUAGAUACCCUG
Molecule: ribosomal RNA, 801 nt
Filed under: uncultured bacterium
Lineage: Bacteria
Description: bacterial SSU rRNA
Rfam family: Bacterial small subunit ribosomal RNA
Source: RNAcentral